RNAcentral lists this long non-coding RNA (326 nucleotides) under Mustela putorius furo (domestic ferret). RNAcentral's name for it is "lncRNA (ENSMPUG00000028796.1)". Lineage: Eukaryota; Metazoa; Chordata; Mammalia; Carnivora; Mustelidae. The record is from RNAcentral.
UGUUCAUCUCGAGGAACCCAGUCCUCUGCAUGAUCACAAGAUAAAGGAACAAAAGUAUCAGUUCAGAAGAGAGCAAAGUCAAGGGCACAUUCUAGUAGCAGCAGCAGAAAAAGAGAAAUCAGACCUACAGAAGAAACUAUCCAUGAUGACUGAAAAAGUUAUCUCUAAGGUCAUCAAAAAAUGGGAGGGCAGCUCUGGGAGAGGAGGAGAGAGAAUAUCUAGCAGACUCCUCCUGAGCACAGAGCCCAAAGCGGGGCUCCAUCCCAAGACCCCGAGAUCAUGACCUGAUUGGAAAUCAAGAGCUGGAUCCUUAACCAACUGAGCCA